UACGUAGGGUGCGAUCGUUAAUCGGAAUUACUGGGCGUAAAGUGUGCGCAGGUGGCUUCGCAAGUCGAGUGUGAAAUCCCCGGGCUUAACCUGGGAAUUGCGCUUGAAACUAGCGGGCUUGAGUGUGGCAGAGGGGGGUGGAAUUCCACGUGUAGCAGUGAAAUGCGUAGAUAUGCGGAGGAACACCGAUGGCGAAGGCAAUCCCCUGGGCCGCACUGACGCUCAUGCACGAAAGCGUGGGGAGCAAACAGG
RNAcentral lists this ribosomal RNA (252 nucleotides) under uncultured bacterium. RNAcentral's name for it is "partial 16S ribosomal RNA". It matches the Rfam family "Bacterial small subunit ribosomal RNA", at positions 524 to 776 of the family's 1533-position model. The record is from RNAcentral.